AGCCCUUAGGGUUUGAUCAUGGCUCAGGACCCGGGCCAACACUUUCCAGGAUGUUCGAAGAGGCUGGACAUAGCAUGGCAAUCUAUGAUCCUNNCUAUGCGAAGGACGAGUCUGUGUGGGAAGAACGAUAUGAUUUUAUAACCGCCAGUGAAGUGGCGGAACAUCUGCACCAGCCAAGAAGGGAGUUUGAUCGACUGUGGGCUUGCCUAAAGCCCGGCGGGACAUUGGGUGUCAUGACGAUGCUAGCGCCGGCGCAGGAGGCGUUCGCAACAUGGCACUAUAAAAAUGAUAUGACCCACGUCAGUUUCUUUUCGCGCAAUACGUUUGAAUGGCUUGGUCACCCGUGGGGUUCCAAUCCAAAAUUCUUUGGCAACGAUGUAGUUCUAUUCCAGAAAAGUCCGAAACAAGGUAACCC
This 415-nucleotide ribosomal RNA is filed under the name uncultured bacterium. RNAcentral's name for it is "partial 16S ribosomal RNA". The record is from RNAcentral.